UCUUAGGCUAUAUAUAUGAGCCUUUUGCUUUGAUUUGAAUUACACCAAAAAUCUUGUUUAAUGAACAAAUUUAUAACAUAAACAAUUUAUUCUUCCUUUGAAGAUAAUUGUUAUUGCUAUAAAAUUUUCUUAAAUACUCUUUAGAGUAAUUACGUUAUAGAGUUCAGGCAUAUUUAGUUCGCCAAAAGUAAAAGGUGGUGCGCCUUAGUUUAUUCUGAUGUAUCUUGGGAGACAGACGCUGUUGGAAUUCUCUAGCACCAACGGGAAAAGGCGAAUCUGUUUUAAGGAAACUGUGUGCUACACAGGCCUCAGAUAUUCUCCAAUAGGAAUUGCGUUCGCGGCUGCAAAGAUGUCAUCACAAUAACAGCUGAUGUUUCCAAAGUUGAAGAUUGUCAAAGAUUUGUUGAUAAAACAAUCAAGUAUCAACUACUAUGGAGGAUGUAAGUGUUCAAAAGAAAAAACAAAUAAACUUAGGUAGCGUUUGGUAACACUUUUUUAAUCAGUUUUCUGUUUUUAAAAAUUGAAAAGUAAAUCAAAAUCAUGUUUAAUAAAAUUGUUUUUACUUUUUAAUUUUUUAAUUGAGAAUCAAAAUUUAAAAAAAAAAAAAAUCACUUUCAAUAUGUUUUCUAAACAGAUUUUUUUUAAUCAAUAUUUUAGACUUUGAUCAGAAUCGGAUCCAAAUCCCCCACACCCCCACGACCCUAGCACUGAAUUCAGCCUCUGAUCUGAACCCAAAUUCAAUUUCGGACCUAGACCAAACUUAAAUAAAAUUAUGAAAUAAAAAUUUAUUUUUUGUUUUUAAAAUUAAAAAACAAAAGUGGUUAACGCAAUUUUGUUUUCAAAAAUAAAAAUUUUACUUUCAUUGGGUAAAUACCAUUUUGGACCCUGUGUUUUGCAAAAGUUACAGAUUGGACCCUAUAUUUUGUUAAAGGACAAAAUAGACCCUGUAUUUUCUAAAAUAGUAAAAAUAGGACCCUAAGCUUAAUUUUUAACAAUUUUUUUUUUAAUACAACUAACUUGAAGACAAUGCUUAAUACGAACAGAUACAAAAAAAAUGUAAACAGUUUUGUCAUAACACUUUUAGAUCGGAUUAUAAUUAAACUUUAUUUUGACAAAAAAUCAAUUCAGGGUCCUAUUUGUACUAUUUUAGAAAAUACAGGGUCUAUUUUGUCAUUUAACAAAACACAGGGUCCAAUUGGUAAUUUUUGUAAAACAGAGAGUCCAAAAUGGUAUUUACCCACUUUCAUUUUCUAAUUAAAAAAUUAGAAAACAAAACUGUUACCAAACGACAUUUUUUUAACUAAUUUCUAUAGUGUUGAAAAUUUGGUGAACAAUGCUGGAGUAGCUCCUGUCUGCAUGUUUGGAGAAACACCUGACCUAAGUUUGUUUCUGUUAUGGUAAUUCAUUUUCUAAAAAGAAUUCAAAUGUAAAUGUAGUACUCUCUCUGUCUACAAAUAUAAUUUUUUUUGUUUUUGUUUUGAUUAGGAUAUAAACUGGGUUCAGUGUAUGCAACACAUUUUGCAAUUCCAUACCUUAAAAAGACCAAAGGAAAGAUCAUAGUGAUUUCCUCUGCUGCCACAUGGUUACCAGUGCCAAGACUUGGCCUCUAUAGUGCUACCAAAGCAGCAGUGACAAGCUUUUAUGAGACAUUAAGAGUGGAAAUAGAGAAAGAGGUUGGCAUAACAAUUGUGUCUCCAGGCUUGACUGAAUCAAAAAUGACUCGAGGAAAAUUCUUAACCCCAAGAGGCACUUUAGAACUAGAUCAAGAAAUGAGAGAUGUUGAGAUGAGCAUGACACCAAUGAUGCCAGCCAAAGAGACUGCAAAAGCAAUUGUGAACAAAGCAUGUGAGGGAGCUUACUAUUUGACAGUACCAACUUGGAUAAGGUCUUUGUAUUAUUCGCAUGCCUUUAUUCCUGAGGUGUUGGAAUGGUCCAACCAGUUGCUGAUAAUGCCUAGACCAGGCUCCACAGAUAGAGAUACUAUUAGUAAGAAAAUAGUGGAAGUAUUAUAUGUAUUCAGGCCAUGUCUGCAGCCUGGGAUAGUUGAGUAUCUUGAUAUUGGUGAUAAUGGCCACAUGUCUUAUUCACAUUACUAAAUAUUUAACUCGUUUUCUUGUGUCAAAUACUCUAUUUUUGUAAAACUUUUGAUAAUAGAAAAUGUAAUAUGUAUAAUACAGUAAGCUAGCUUUAUACAAGACUUGCCUCACUAAA
Cannabis sativa is the source of this 2211-nucleotide RNA transcript. It is a transcript of the gene named 11-beta-hydroxysteroid dehydrogenase A-like, with no coding region annotated. The record is from RefSeq and is a predicted model, not a curated record. The transcript is spliced from 4 exons. NCBI's taxonomy places the organism in Eukaryota, Viridiplantae, Streptophyta, Magnoliopsida, Rosales, Cannabaceae.